UACGAAGGGGGCUAGCGUUGCUCGGAAUCACUGGGCGUAAAGGGUGCGUAGGCGGGUCUUUUAAGUCAGGGGUGAAAUCCUGGAGCUCAACUCCAGAACUGCCUUUGAUACUGAGGAUCUUGAGUUCGGGAGGGGUGAGUGGAACUGCGAGUGUAGAGGUGAAAUUCGUAGAUAUUCGCAAGAACACCAGUGGCGAAGGCGGCUCACUGGCCCGAUACUGACGCUGAGGCACGAAAGCGUGGGGAGCAAACAGG
This 254-nucleotide ribosomal RNA is filed under the name uncultured bacterium. RNAcentral's name for it is "partial 16S ribosomal RNA". It matches the Rfam family "Bacterial small subunit ribosomal RNA", at positions 524 to 776 of the family's 1533-position model. The record is from RNAcentral.